CAGACACCUUCACUGCUCGCUGUUAGAGGGAGGACCCCUGCUGGAGGAUGCUGUGCCAUCGGGUCUGCUUGUGUUACCUCAUGAAUCCAAUAGCAUUUGGCCCCGAAGUUAGUCACUAUCUCUAUUGAUGGCAAUUCCAUUUAAUAACACUGUCGGGGGUGUUAAUUAUGCUGAGGGCUCAGGCCAGCCUGUCUCAGGCUGCUGCUAAUGCUGUGCCCUAUGUUGAGUCUGUGGGACUCCAGCCUGCUGGAUCAACGCAAACAAAGACCUUUCUCUAAUUUUCAGGUCUCCAAUCCGUGUUACGAGAACGAGCUUCAGGGUGUUUGACAGUAGCAUAUUCUUGCCACGUGGAGGCAGUGAUACACAGUGUUACUGAUGACAAUUUGUAACAUUAAAGUGGAUAUAAAACAUUGACAUUCUAAGGGCUUUUGUAAAGAAAUUUUUGCAUUGAGCCAGCACAGUGCAGUUAUAUUCUGUCUGUUUAAUCAACUAAAGUAUUCUUAUUAAUGGAAAUUAUACAUGAUGAUGAGUGUUUAAAUGUUUUCUUAAUCUAAAGCCACUUAAAGUUACAAUCUUAACAUGGUUAUAGAAGUAGUCCUGCUAAAUGGAGUGUUAUGAAACUCUAUAAAAAUCCAUGACACUCCUGGUGAAGUCAAGACUUUGUAUCUCAUAGAAUUGUGUAUGUGAUUUAACUGAGAUGUACAGUCUACACUACAGUGUUUCUACAAUCUAUAGCAAGUUUAUUGCAAAAAUAAUGUUUGAAAUAGGAGAACCAUUGU
Triplophysa dalaica is the source of this 779-nucleotide long non-coding RNA. RefSeq lists it as uncharacterized. The record is from RefSeq and is a predicted model, not a curated record. The transcript is spliced from 3 exons. Lineage: Eukaryota; Metazoa; Chordata; Actinopteri; Cypriniformes; Nemacheilidae.